AGUGGCGGACGGGUGAGUAACACGUAGGUAACCUGCCCUUCAGCGGGGGGCAACUCAGGGAAACUUGAGCUAAUACCCCAUAAGACCACUGGGAAAAAAGGAGCGCUGAGGGAUGGGCCUGCGGCCUAUCAGGUAGUUGGUAGGGUAAUGGCCUACCAAGCCAGAGACGGGUAGCCGGUCUGAGAGGACGAACGGCCACACUGGAACUGAGACACGGUCCAGACUCCUACGGGAGGCAGCAGUGGGGAAUUUUGCACAAUGGGGGGAACCCUGAUGCAGCGACGCCGCGUGGAGGAUGAAGGCCUUCGGGUUGUAAACUCCUUUUCUCAGGAACGAUUGACGGUACCUGAGGAAUAAGCCACGGCUAACUCUGUGCCAGCAGCCGCGGUAAGACAGAGGUGGCGAGCGUUGUCCGGAAUCACUGGGCUUAAAGGGCGCGUAGGUGGUAGUGUAAGUCUGGGGUGGAAUCCCAGGACUUAACCCUGGAACUGACUUGGAAAC
RNAcentral lists this ribosomal RNA (501 nucleotides) under uncultured soil bacterium. RNAcentral describes it as "bacterial SSU rRNA". It matches the Rfam family "Bacterial small subunit ribosomal RNA", at positions 94 to 633 of the family's 1533-position model. The record is from RNAcentral.